Triticum aestivum (bread wheat) is the source of this 2990-nucleotide RNA transcript. RefSeq lists it as uncharacterized. The transcript has 5 exons. Lineage: Eukaryota; Viridiplantae; Streptophyta; Magnoliopsida; Poales; Poaceae. The record is from RefSeq and is a predicted model, not a curated record.
AAAAAAAAUGGGUUUCCCCCAUCUCCCUUGUCUCGCUCAUUCUGGAACCCUCUCGCCGCCGCCCACGAUAGAGAGAGAGAGAGUUGAGCAGCGGGAGAGACGAGCUCGACCGCGCCGCCCUGUGCGCAGUCGCCGAAGAAUCUUCAGAUGUACACUGCGGGCAUGGAGUUCCUACUGGAUGCAGUUGACAGGUUCCCAAUAAGAGAGGAAUUCGCCAACAACCUUGGGCAGCCGGAUCCCGUUCCACUGCAUUUCCUGCUGGAGAAUGGUGGGAGGAGGGGAAAUGUGGAUGGUGCAGAUUCAGACGGUGGAUCUGCUUUGGCUGAGAAUGUUGGGGGAGAUGGAGAUGGUGCUGCGGUAGUAGGGUCUCGCCGUAAACAUGCUGCUUCUCCGACGAGGUCAGCACAGUCAAGUGACAGGGUGAAUCCGGAGGCGCCUGGCUGGACAAAACGGCUUCGCCUUGGCAGUGCGACACCGGACAGGGUCCCAUGCCCAUCCCGGAUGAGUGCACUCGAGCUUUUGAUGCGCAAGUAUCCAGAGUAGCCUGACAAAAGUGUCGUGCGACCAGAGCUAGGCCUUAGCUUCGACUCUUUUAGCGAGGCAUACGAUUUCUACAAUCUGUAUUCGUGGGAGGUCGGAUUUGGAAUAAGAUACGGCAAGAGCCUUCUAAAUGCUGAAAGAACGAAGUGCAUGCAAGAAAUCGUAUGUGGUUCCCGGAGAAACCAGAGGUUGAGAACAGUAGGUCAUGUAGAUGCGAAUGCCCGGCGCUGAUCAGACUUCUACGUGCAUCGGAUAACAGCUGGUACAUUACAGAACACCGCGAGAGCCACAACCACUCGAUGUCGCUGACAAUGGGAGAGAAGGUGCACUGGCCGUCACACAAACAUAUCGAUGUGUACACGAAGGACUUGAUUAGGCAGCUGAGGAAAAAUAAUGUGAAUCUGGGAAAGGUCUAUAGUAUAAUUGGCAGCUUCUUUGUCUCAGUUGAGAAGGUGCCCUUCAUGAAAAGGACUCUGAGGAAUAUAUGUGGCAAAAUUAGCCGUGAGCAGGCCGAUGAUGAUGUGCGGAAGAUACUGGAAGUGUUUGCUGACAUCUGUUCGAGCGACCCUGGCUUCACGUACGUGGUGUUGGCAGACAAGUCCAGCAAGGUGAAAAAUCUGAUGUGGGCUAAUGGGAGCAGCCGAAUGCAGUAUAAGUUCUUUGGUGAUGUGGUCACAUUCGACACAACCUACAGGACAAACCUGUAUGACAUGCCAUUUGGUCUAUUCAUGGGAGUUGACAAUCACUAUCAAAGUAUAAUAUUUGGCGGGGGUAUUGAUGCGGGAUGAGCAAGAAGAAAGCUUUGAGUGGGUGUUUGCUGAAUUUAUACGUCUGAUGGGCGGGCCUGCACCAACGACCAUAUUGACAGAGCAAUGCAGAGCCAUGGAAUUGGCGAUAAGGAAGACAUAUCCAGGGACUGUACAAAGGUGGUGCAAAUGGCAUAUCCUAAAAAAGGCGAAAGAAACACUGGGUCCGCUUUACCGAAAAAGGCUUGCGCCCCGCUUUAUAUAUAAAGCAACAACCCACAAGCAUCCAGUACAACCACACGCUACGCCACCGCAACACACGCACACACACAGGACGGGAUACAAAGGCGCUGAGUGCAGCAACACUACUCCUAGCACUACCGCCCCGAAGAUAUUAAGCUACAUAUGACGAACCAUGCGCUCCAAGGCGGCGCCUUCAGGAAGGAAACAACGCCGGAGCGCCGCCACCGCCCGAUCCAAGGAUCAAAGUUUCCCCCGGAGCCGCAUGAUGGGCAAUGAGAGCCGCGACGACGCCUUCAAGAAGGGAGCGAUCUUCGCCGCCGCCGGUCCGUCCGAAGAUAGAGCAAGUUUUCACCUCGGCCAACAUUCACCGCCACCGAACGCCACACCCCGGCUACCACGCCGCCCACACGGCCAUGAUGAGCGGGCAGCACCAAGGCGCGGGCUUUUUCCAAGAGCACCGCGCCACCACCACCACCACCAGGGCCGCCGCCCCAGCAUCCAAGACCUCAACACCACCUCACCCGUGACCCAGCGCACCCUAACGAAAGAGAUGAGCGGAAAGGUCCCACCUUUCGCGCCCCUGGGCAACCCCCAGCGUCGAGACCCAAUAGGUCGGCCAGAACUGGCAUCCACCGACCCAUCCUGCUACCCCAAGCGCGAGAUGAACUCGGUCCUGCAGCAUCGUGCGCGAGACGAGCUCGGUCCUGCUGCCUCGUGCGCGAGACGAGGUCGGUCCUGCUGCAUCAUGCGCGAGACGAGCUCUGUCCGGCGGCAUCGGGCGCGAGACGAGCGGUGGAUCACAUCUGGGAAAGGACCAGCCCUUUGAUGGGAGUAGCGCCCGGGUGACGAGGAGAUGGGGUGAAGGACGAGACGGCCCGGACGCAGACAAACCGACGCCGGAGGAGCCGGCCGUUGCCGCGGACAGAUCCAUCGAGUCACCGUGAAGCCGCCACGACACCGGUAGGCCACCGAGACCUACCCAUGUCGCCGCCCACGGCCGGAGCAGCAGCCACGCCCGGCCGCUGCCCUACCCGCGUCGCCCGGCGGGCUCCAAGCGCCGGAGCCGCCGGGCACGCACCACCGGAGCCAGGCGCCACCGGCCGGCCCCCAAAGCCAGAUCCGGACGGAUCCGGCCCGAGACUGGUCGCGCGCCACCUCCCGAGAUGGGAGCACCGCAGCCGCCCCGCAACGCGCAACCCGAGGAUCGCCGGAGCACCGCCACAGCAGGCCACCCCGCCACCCCACGAGACUGCCGCCGCACCGCUGGAUUCCGCGAGCGACCAGCACCGUCGCUCAAAGGGGCCGCCCCGCGCCGGCGCCCUCAAGCGGACGGGGAAGGAGGGCCCGCCCACCGCCUCGCCCGCUGGGCUAUGCCCGACGAAGCGCGCCGACGACGGCGGGGGGAGGGGAGCGAGACGGGGCCGAGGGCCGCGGCCACAGGGGGCCCCCCGGGCGCGCGCG